Molecule: ribosomal RNA, 800 nt
Filed under: Naegleria robinsoni
Lineage: Eukaryota; Heterolobosea; Eutetramitea; Acrasida; Naegleriidae
Description: SSU rRNA
Rfam family: Eukaryotic small subunit ribosomal RNA
Source: RNAcentral
CUGCAGCGAUAAUACUUGUUCCCUUCGGGGUGGUAAUAGUAUUUGUGCUGAAGCCUAGCUAUUGUAACCCAGUUUUUCUGGAUGUGGCAACAUAUUCAGGGGAAUUGGGAAUCGACCGCUAGCAGGUGCCUUCGGGCGCGGGAAAGUGAAUUAACAAGGUUUUCAUAAGGCCUUUCAGGUUUGCUUUUUCUAGUGGCCAGGCAGAGGAGUUUCUUACCUAUCAGCUCGUUGUUUGUUUAAAGGACAAACCAGGCUUUGACGGGUACGGGGAAUCAGUGUUCGAUUCCGGAGAGGGAGCCUGAGAAAUCGCUACCACAUCUAAGGACGGCAGCAGGCGCGCAAAUUACCCAAUCUCAAUACGAGGAGGUAGUGACAAGCUAUAGUGACUCCACACUAUUUAGUGGGGAGGUAUUGUCUUUUGACGAUUUUCCAUGAUUUGGGUGUAGAUAACCCUUAGAGUAGCCAUUGGAGGAAAAGUCUGGUGCCAGCACCCGCGGUAAUUCCAGCUCCAAGAGCGUAUAUUAAUACUGCUGUAGUUAAAACGCCCGUAGUAUACCUAAGAGUGUGUAUGUAGUAAUUAGUUUUAUCAGAGGACGGUUGGCGAGAGUUUAUCACUCUUGUUUGCCUACUUUUGGUAAACUUUAGUCGGGCUGGAUCUUUGGUCCUCGUCUGACAGUUACUGCGUGUAUACUUGUCCACGGUUCAUCCGUGAGGCCCAUUUGGGUUGCAACUGUAAAUAAAUCGUUGUGCUUAAAGCGGGCUAUGAUACUCUGCCAGAGCGAUUUAGCAUGGGACUGCAG